CUGUGUUGGUGAAUAGUGCAUC
RNAcentral lists this non-coding RNA (22 nucleotides) under Rattus norvegicus (Norway rat). Lineage: Eukaryota; Metazoa; Chordata; Mammalia; Rodentia; Muridae. The record is from RNAcentral.